Molecule: ribosomal RNA, 425 nt
Filed under: uncultured bacterium
Lineage: Bacteria
Description: partial 16S ribosomal RNA
Rfam family: Bacterial small subunit ribosomal RNA
Source: RNAcentral
GUGGGGAAUAUUGCACAAUGGGGGAAACCCUGAUGCAGCAACGCCGCGUGAGUGAUGAAGGCCUUCGGGUUGUAAAGCUCUGUCUUUGGGGACGAUAAUGACGGUACCCAAGGAGGAAGCCACGGCUAACUACGUGCCAGCAGCCGCGGUAAUACGUAGGUGGCAAGCGUUGUCCGGAUUUACUGGGCGUAAAGGGAGCGUAGGUGGAUAUUUAAGUGGGAUGUGAAAUCCCCGGGCUUAACCUGGGGGCUGCAUUCCAAACUGGAUGUCUAGAGUGCAGGAGAGGAGAGUGGAAUUCCUAGUGUAGCGGUGAAAUGCGUAGAGAUUAGGAAGAACACCAGUGGCGAAGGCGACUCUCUGGACUGUAACUGACACUAAGGCUCGAAAGCGUGGGGAGCAAACAGGAUUAGAAACCCGGGUAGUCC